Molecule: unclassified non-coding RNA, 191 nt
Filed under: plant metagenome
Description: partial contains small subunit ribosomal RNA and internal transcribed spacer 1
Source: RNAcentral
AAAGUCGUAACAAGGUUUCCCGUAGGUGGACCCUGCGGAAGGAUCAUUAAAGAAUUAGGCUUCGCGGCCAAGUUCUCACCCUUUGCAUACCGAAACCAUGUUGCUUUGGCAGGCCCCUGCAUUUCUCGGGCCUGCCAGGAGGUUAUAAGUCCUAGAAUCUCUGCUGUCUGAGUACUAUGCAAUAGUUAAAA